RNAcentral lists this long non-coding RNA (210 nucleotides) under Mytilus galloprovincialis (Mediterranean mussel). Lineage: Eukaryota; Metazoa; Mollusca; Bivalvia; Mytilida; Mytilidae. The record is from RNAcentral.
GUGCAUUUAUUUUAUUUCUUUUCUUUUGGUUAUAUAUGCAUUAGAAUAUAAACAACUGUUAUGCAAUUGUUUUAUAAUCUCAACUUGCAGAGAAUCCAAGUAUCCCUGCAAGAAUGACUUUUUGUGUAUCGCGCAUGAAUAGAUUACAAAAGUAGUUUCGGAAACAUGGUUUAUCGAAGUGUAAACCAAGAGAAAAAACUCUACUUGACC